This is a long non-coding RNA of Papaver somniferum (opium poppy), 6357 nucleotides long. RefSeq lists it as uncharacterized. The transcript is spliced from 4 exons. Lineage: Eukaryota; Viridiplantae; Streptophyta; Magnoliopsida; Ranunculales; Papaveraceae. The record is from RefSeq and is a predicted model, not a curated record.
UUAUGUCAAGGAAAAGUGCAAGUACCAUGGUUUUUUGUUAAUAUUGUGGCGGAUAUUAAAUUCUUGGUUCAGCAGAUGCGUUCUUUUGUUUUUGUACAUCGAUAUAGGGAGAGUAAUGAUGUUGCUGAUCUGUUAGCUAAGAAAGCAGCAAAUGAAUGUUUAUGUGGUCCAUGGUUUGAUACUCCUCCUCCUUUUUUGGUUUCUGUCCUGAUGGAGGAUGCUAGGGGAAGGGCUUUUCCCCGUUUCAUCGAGUGAUACUCCUCCUCCUUUUUUGUUGAAUACAUCUUCUUACCAAAAAAAUAAAAAUAAAUUAACAAGCCAGUUUCAUCGAGUUUCCUGCAAUUUUUGAUCUUCUUCGACGCCCUAAUUUUCGAUGUUCGUUAACAGAUAAUCAGAAUUCACGGAUAACGUAAUCAUCAAUUAAACCUUUGGAGUUGUUGAUUCUCACUGGGUUGUAAUAAGGUUUGUAAUAUUAUUGCAAUUAGGGUAUUAGCUUUUAGGAAAAAUCAUUGUUUUCUCUAUGGGAUUUUCUGGGUUUACCAAAUUUUAGGGUUUUUACGUUUUCGUCUUAGUCAUCAACUGUUGCUGGAGUUGAUGUCAAUCCUCCUCCACCAUCUGCAACAACAACCAUCUCCGAUUUGAUUCCUGCCAAAGUAACAACAGGAAAUGGCAAUUCAAUGAUGAAGGAGCUUUAAUUGAGGUAUUCCGUGCACCUGUUCAGAUAUAGGAUUAGAACUUCUCAUCUGUAAUUCUUAUAUGUUGGCGUUCUUGAGUUCCUCUUAUUAGUUUUUUUCUCCUUGACGGGUAUCAGAAGCUCCAACAACCCUCUAUGUAUCAGUAGUGAAUAUCUUAAAAACAAGACUAUGAUAGAAGUUUCAAUAAACCUCUAUGGUUACUUCCCUUAUUGUAUGGUCAUUUAUGUUAUUUCACAAUCAUACUUUUCAGUAUAUGUUUCGUUUAACAUGCUUUAAAUUUCUUUUGGUUGCCCCUUUAAUUAAUCAUAUUCUGCUGUCCAUCGUUACUAUUUUAGGAACUGAAUAUGUGUGUGAUUUAAACAUCUCAGUGGGGUAAUUUUCAAUCUCAGUACAUUUAUUUUGUCAAUUUACCUGGGUUGGUAUGUAUCUUUCUCAAGCUUAUGUCGUAUUUCUUGGACGGAUAUCAGUGUGUUUUUUAUUCGUCUACAUUAGUCGAUAAAUAAGUUAUUGUUGCUGGCACACUAACUUUCAGGCGUUUGAUUUUAUUAGAUAUCUAUCAAUGUCUAUCAUUUCCAUAUACUCAUUCACAAUGAGAAAGGACGGAUUGACACCUGUAAGUGGAAUCCUAUGAAGAACUAUCACUACUAAUUGAAUUGGAUUUGUCUUAAUAUGUCUAAUUUUCACUUCGGCGGUGGUAAGAGUAAUUAGGUAUAUGACUACUAACCCAAUUUCAGUUAGACCAUAUCAGCAUCACCAACUGUAUAGUUUUUGAGAGUUCCACUCAACCUCAAAGUGCAAGAGGUAUGUCGAUUUGAAUUACUACUUUUGUCCUGUUACUCUAAUAUUGUAUGCCUCAACUGCCUUAUUGUCCAGAAAAUAAACUGACUACCCAUCUGUGGACAAGAUCAUUGGGGACAAGAGGUAUGUUGAUUUGAAUUACUACUUUUGUCCAUGUUACUCUAAUAUUGUAUGCCUCAACUGCCUUAUUGUCCAGAAAAUAAACUGACUACCCAUCUGUGGAUAGGAUCAUUGGGGAUCUUGAAGCUCCACUUUAGAUAAACCUCAAAUAUAAUCAAGAUAUUUUGUUUAACUGGAAAAAUGACCUUAGUUUUACACUUUUGCUCAUUUGAGUUUUAUAACUUUUCAGGCACAUGAUUUUUCACUCAUUUUUUGUAUUUAUCCUAUAUGUUGCUCUUAUAGCAAUAAUACAUACUCAGACCCCUUCCCGCAUAAGUAGCCUUAGAUUUUUAAAGUUGAUGUUUCAGAGGUUCUGUGAUGGAUCCCUUGAAAGCAUCUACGACUUUGAAAUACUUAUCAAGUAGAGGAAAAACAUGAUACCUUACGGUUAGUGAAACAAACUUUAUUGAGGUACUGCAUAUUCUUAGUUAAUAUAUCUCUGUAACGGUAAUCGUAUUGAUAACCAAAUUGUUUUCCGAAAUAUGAUUUUAUAACUAGCAUAUUAGACUGCAUGUUUAACAAGGUGGUAAUGUUAUCAGAGGGAUGCCCUGUCUACUAUGGACCUGCAUCAACUUCCUUGGAUUAUCUCUUUAAUUGGAUUUCAACUUCUGUCAUUGUCAACCCAGCUAACCUUUUACUCGAUCUCCCAAAUGGUACAUAGUCUUUUCUCACCUUUGCAAUUGUCUCAUGUCUGCUCAUGAAAAGAACAUACCUACAAGGAUGAAGGCUGAGCUACGUGGUGUUGUCAACAUCAACCAUCAAUAACUCUUGAUAUUUGUCUACUCGCUACUGUUGAUACACUCAACUGGAACACGGUGAAGUCAGAGACUCGGAAGAGUGGGGACUAAUGGUGGAGACGAUUCAUAGUUCUGUAUAUGGGAGGGAUCAAGGAGCAUAUACACAAAGCUUUGAACAGAUGUUUUGUGUAUUUAGUUAUGUAUGUGCCCCAAAAGUGAGAUUUUAGGCCGAUGCAGAUGAAUUGAAGUGGUUCCAACACCACAACUGAUUUUCUUUUAAUUCAACUGGGUUGUGCCCCUAAUUGGCAUGAAGAUAAGGUUCUUCUGAAUAUCAUGACAGACUUCUUAACCAUAUCACUUAAGUAUGGUCCCGUAUCACUUAAGUAUUGUCAGGAUGUUGGAGUUUUGUACCUAAGCAAGCAGGUUAGUUCCGUACGCUAAUUGUUUAUUCACUAAACUGUAUAUGGUAUAUGUUGCAGAAUAUUUUGCUGAUUUUGCUCAAAUUGGAAAAUGUUUGUAAUUCUUUAAAGGUGUGGUAAAAGUUGUUGACUUAGGUGGAUAAACUACAGGCCUGAUUUAAGUAGAGGCAUAUUCUCAAAACAGGCAUAAAAUUAUCAUUUUGUUUUGGGAAACGGGUAAAUGUUAAUCUGAGUCGAAAAGUAGUUGUACUCAGUUUCAUUGUAUGUUUUCCCAACAUGUCAUUACGUUUGGUAGGGUAUAUUAAAUGUUCUAGGAUACGUUAUUUCGGGAUAUCAUAAUUCUCAUUUUCUAUAGUGAAUUUAGAAGUACUUAUGAACUUCCAUGCCAUAAGUCCUGAAAAUGGGAGACUGGACAUUUUUUUAAUAACUUCUGCAGCUGGUGGGAAUUAGGAAAUCGGUCCAUUCUGGGAAUUUAUUCUGAACUUUACGAAAAAUUAAGAAAAUUGUUUAGGUGUUAAGAGGGUUUGUAGAUUGAACAUUCUAAAUUUGGCCACGAUUGCAGUCAUAUACAAAUAUAAUGGUUUAGGUUUGUCAUAUUGAGCUAACUCUACACUGUUAAUCUAUUUUGGGUGAACCCUUUUUAAAUUGUUGUGUUAUUUACUGUGCAAGAUUUUAGAUCAAAUGAACCAUCAUAACCGGUUGCCUAGCAUGUCAAUUAGGGAUAUACGAUGUACAGGGUUCAGGGUCCUAGAGUAUAAAAAUUCGAAAUUUUUUGAGUCUUUGAUAGCACAACACUUCACGGAUGGCGUUAUAUUUAUCUCUGGAGAAAAGUUUUUGAUAUUGCUGUUAGAGGAGAUCUAAUGGGAAUUGAUGAUCAGGAGUUUGCUAACAUGGUUAAUAAUGGAAAAGUCGGUAAGGACUCUCAAUCGCAAUUUUGUUUAUUGUUUGAGUUAUCAUCUUGGACAUCCUCCACCUGACUGCUAAGUGUUAAUACUCAAUUCCCUCCUCAUGGGAGAUAGAUGAAUCUUUUUAGUGGACUCUAUCGGAUUCAGUUCCUUUUUGGUUUAUCUCAAUCUACUUUCUUGACUUACCUAAUCAUGUUGUUCAGACAUUGUUGCCAUAUAGUUUCUAGAAAAAAUAAGUUCGUAGUCUUGAAAAUAUGUUUAUUUAGUAGCAUUUCAGUUACCACUAAAAGGAUUAAUUACCUGGAUAUAUUGUGUCAUCUCCAGGUUAUUUGGUCGAUACUUAAGUAUGGUACAAAGUUCAUAUACGUCUUCCAUCAUAUAUUUGGAGUACACUGAAUUUGUAUCAUCAUUCUUUUCUUCCUGCUUGCAUUUUUUUCUGGGAAAUUUGGUUUCAUUGUAAACAAUUGCAACAAAACUAAUUUCCAGUUCAGCCAAUAAUGCCAAGAAUUUAUUCCCUUUAAAUCUUAUCUAUUUCGUCUCUCUCUGUUCAUUUAGUUUCAAUUUUAAAGUUUUGAGUAAUUUUAUUUUUUGUGCAUCAGUACUUGGAAGUUUCUUGAAACGUACCAUCUACACAAGAUCUACUUCUUCUUGCUUUCCUAUUAGUUCUUACAUUAUUCAUCUGUGAAAUGAAAACUUGAUGGGUUCACACUUGGCUCCAGUUGUAGCUUUCAUCUCGAUGCAAAUUGCCUAGAGAUGUCUUUAAGUGCCUAGAUUCUUAAGUUCACGUUUUCUAAGAAUUAUAUCUAGAUUUUGUUUGGGAGUUUGCGUCACUCAAAGGUUUUAGAUUGUGCCUUUUGUAGAGUGUUAGGGCUCUAAAUUUUAUUAAAACUUUGUCUUUUUUUAGCAGACAUAUAAAGAUCAAAGUAUCUAUCACUGGCUUCUCAGGUACUGAGAUGAUAAGGUUAAGAUGUUUCCGGCAACUUAAAUGGAAAACACUUGCUCCAAGUUUUCUUUUACUGAUUUUGAUGACAUGCAAGCAAUUGACACCCUCAACAAUGCUUAUCUUACUAUAGCGGGAUUCUAUCACGACGAGAUCAAGAUCUUCUGGAAGUUUCUUUACAAGGGAAUUCUUGGAGUUUCUUUACGGGGGAAACUUGGUUAGAGAAGAGUUUGAGAAGCCUCAACGGUUAGCUGAGAAAGAAAAAAACCCAGAAACAGAUCGAGAGAAGAAAAAAGAGAGGUAGUUGGAUCGAUAGAGCAAGAUUUACAGCGAGAGAAGUAGAUAUAGAUGGAUAUAGAAGAGUCAGACUAGAGAGUUUGGUGACUUGGUCGGGUUUGAGAAAGAGUUUCAGGAAGAUUAGGUUUUCAAUCAGAGAAGAUUAGGUUUUCAAUCAGAAAACAAGUAAGUAAUCCAAACCCUUUCUUUAUUUUUGUUAAAAUAGACUGAUGCAUGAUGUUUUUAUUGAUUAUAAUCGAAGUUGAGAUGAUUGAUGUUCUUAAAUUUAGGGUUUAUGUAAUUAGGAUUUAUCUGAAAUUGGGAAUUGUUGAAUACCAAUUUUUGAAAUUGUAUGAUAGUAUGAUACCAAUUUAGUCCAAGAUGCUUAAUAUAUGAUAGUAUGAUACCAAUUUUUGUUUCUGAUUGUGUUUAGAAAAAUCAUUGUACUGUAUGCUAUGAGUCUAUGACCAUCUUAACAGGAUGACUGAGCAAACAACCACUACUUGGGGGCAAUUUGAUAUGGAUGCUUCUGUUUGACCAUGUGAUUCGUGUUCUCAUGUCUGAAGCUCAUCCUCGUAUUUCAUUUUUCCUAUUUCUUGCUUUAGCUAAUUGUGUACUUAGUGUCUUCCGUAUUGCGAGCUGUUUAUGUGUGACAAGAGGAAAAAGGAUAUUUCUCAAUUGAGGAAAAAGUUCUAUGAUGAACUUGUUUGCGCUGUGUUUGCUGGUAGUGUGUACAGCACUUCAUAUCAACCAUCGGCAUGUUCAUAUUUGAGCAAUAUUUCUUGUGGUGUGUUGGCUUGGUAGUUUUUAUUUCGUCUCUAGCUUAGUAGCUUCGCACUUUCAUCUUGAUUCAUGUGUUACAUUGGUGGUAAGUUAUCUUUCAGGUUCUGAUCACUUUGUUGUGUUACAGCAAAUUCUGUUUAAUGCCUUAAGAUAAAAAAAUAUCUUUCUUAGCUAAUCGUCGCUUCGAUGCAUAUAUUUUUCCAUUUGUAGUGACUGAAAAGUUGUUAGAUGGGUAGGCAGUUAAAAUCUAGCACACUGUGAGCUGCUAUUUAGUUUUCCUCUUACCACAGUUGGGUUUCUUUCCUGUUGGUGUGUGUGCCUAAGCUUAAUUUCUCCCUCUGUUUCCUCUUCUUGCCUUUUUAAUCAGUCUUUUGUCUAAGCAUAAUCAAAAGAGAGAUUACUUCCUUGAUAUAUAUUCUUUUCACUGGCCUUAUCAUUGAUCUAUUCUGACAGUAACGUGGCUUUGUUUAAAUUAGUUGUUAUUGCUGGUGUUAACAUUAGAAGUAACAAUAUGCUGCUUACUUCAAGCAUGUUCGUUGAGACCUGUGGCACAAUUUUGGCUUUCGUACCACUUGCUGCUUAAACCGAUGAAUUCAUUGCGACUGUAUUUUUUUCUUCAUUUCUCAAUCUUAACUUAGGAUGAUA